GACGAACGCUGGCGGCGUGCCUAAUACAUGCAAGUUGAGCGCUGAAGGUUGGUACUUGUACCAACUGGAUGAGCAGCGAACGGGUGAGUAACGCGUGGGGAAUCUGCCUUUGAGCGGGGGACAACAUUUGGAAACGAAUGCUAAUACCGCAUAAAAACUUUAAACACAAGUUUUAAGUUUGAAAGAUGCAAUUGCAUCACUCAAAGAUGAUCCCGCGUUGUAUUAGCUAGUUGGUGAGGUAAAGGCUCACCAAGGCGAUGAUACAUAGCCGACCUGAGAGGGUGAUCGGCCACAUUGGGAAUGAGACAAGGCCCAAACCCCUACGGGAGGCAGCAGGAGGGAAUCCUCGGCCAUGGACGAAAGUCCGACCGAGGAACGCCGGGGGAGUGAAGAAGGUUUUCGGAUCGUAAAACUCUGUUGGUAGAGAAGAACGUUGGUGAGAGUGGAAAGCUCAUCAAGUGACGGUAACUACCCAGAAAGGGACGGCUAACUACGUG
This 497-nucleotide ribosomal RNA is filed under the name uncultured bacterium. RNAcentral describes it as "partial 16S ribosomal RNA". It matches the Rfam family "Bacterial small subunit ribosomal RNA", at positions 28 to 507 of the family's 1533-position model. The record is from RNAcentral.